GUAGAGAGAGAACUCGCCAGUUAUGUACAAGUGACUAUCCUGAUUUUCGCUAGCAACUUUCUUUUAUUGUUUUGUAGAAUCUAAAGUUGUUCAAUGUAAGGUGAACAAGUAGUAUUACUAAAAUAAGCUUUCAUUUCAAACCCGACAUCCCGAGUCAUUACUACUAUAUUUUUGUGCCGAGAUCCAGGAAAAGUAUGAGCUGCGAUGAAGAUCAUAGGGAUGAAGCGGCUGAAAUGGCUGACGAGGAACAUCGGCAUGAAGCAGAAAGAAUGAGACGAAAGCGGGCUACCAUUCGAGGUGCCACAAAACGGAUUUUUGAAUCAGAUUGACGUGGAAAUAACCCAGUCAAAUUCGGAUACCGAUCACUUGAAUACAUUGUUAUCAUACAUUGGAAUUGCUAUCAGCUAAUGAGGACAGCUUGUUUGAACUUGAUCGUGGAAUUGAACAGUUAGCGCCAUUGGACGGACUGGAGGCGGAGAAUGCAUGCACAGAGGAUUACAAAGAGCGCAUUAUCAUGCUGAAGAGCAGUGCACAACAAAUUAUAAAGAAAAAACAGGACCUCAAUCCACUACCAGCACUGGUGAGUGUAGGAUAUGGUGACCAUCCCUCUGAUGAACAGGUAACGUUCAACCGACCUCCUCCUCCUCUUGCUUCAGCAACAGAGACCACCGGGGUACCACCUAGUACUAAUAGACAGAGGUGGGGCAAAGUACAACCAAGAAGACAAUGAUUGUUGUUUCUCAUCGAUGUGUCCUGCCUCUACAAGCACACAUACCAUGAACACACUUAGCAUGAUGACCACAGAUGCGAGAGCAGAGAGGAGGAGCAGAGACAGGACCAAAUAUGCAAUAAAUGCUUCUCUCCAGGCUUCUGCACACAGGAAAAUCAAAUUCAUAAGCGCUCAUAAGGCGGAAAGAUAGAACGAUAGAGACACAUCUUCAGCAUGUUCACAGUCCUCUUACAGCAGAUCAUUUCUGGGAUGGGAAGUAAGUGGGAUCUGAAUGUGUGAAUGCUGUCUGUAGGACACUCAUUCACCAGGCUGGUAUAUCUGUGGCAGGAUUCUGCUCUCUCUCUCUCUCUCUCUCUCUCUCCUCCUCAGACAGGGAGAUUGUACAGGAGAGCCAAUCGGAGAGCCAAUCGGAGAGCCAAUCGGAGUCUGAGGGAGAAUACAGCAGCCAACUACUGACACUCAACAAGCCCUGAGAAUCUGAUUCAGUGGAGAGAGUCAGAGAGAGACAGAGAAAGAGAGAUACAGAGAUAGAUAGAAAGAGUGGUUUUGAUUUUCACUAUGAACAUUUUACAUCAAUUUGUGUUUUAUCAUUGCAAGUAAUGUUAUUACCAUGUGUGUAGAGUACUUCUUGUACAUUUCUGAGCUCUGCGCCUUUGUUUUUCCAGGUGAGUUUAGGUUGAGGUGACCAGCCCACUGAUGGACAGGUGAUGUUCACCUGGCCUCCUCCUCCUCUUGCUUCAGCAAGAGACAAAACAGGGAUACCACCUAAUACUAUUGGAAAGAUAGGCAGUUCAACCCCAAAAAUAGAUAGGACUGUUAGAAGUUUUGUUCCAUUUUCCAGAAAUGUUCACAAGUUCAACAAAAUGAGCAAUAGUAGUUUGAUUCUGAACUACAUUCCCACCAAAAGCACAGUAUCUCUCCCUAAAUAAGUUUACAUCACGUGUUAUGUUUGUUUACAGGUUAAUUCAUUGUAGAAACAUACUCCUCUGCUCCUUACCAAUCAGUGUGAGGGACACACUGGCCUUUUCAUACCACUGUUCGCUGCUGACACGGCACACAUACUCCCCCCUGUCUUCCAGUGUGACCCUCUCCAGUGUCAGGGACACGUUCCCUCUCUCCAGCCCCCCAGUUGGAGACACCCUGCUCCUGUAACGGGGGUCCAUAGAUGCCUGGAUGCUGUGGUCCUUUUAUAACAAGGCAGGUCGGUUGAAGUUACCAGGCCGGUACCAACGCACCUCCAACGGCUCUGCACUGAAGAGAGGUGAGAGUUCACAAGGUAGGGAGAGGGAGGUCGUUUAUCCGGGUCAAGAUCGGACCAUGAGGGACCACCAAAGUGAAGACCUCUGGGGUAAUGGGUAACAGAAAGAAGAAUGUACAGUGAAGAAUGAUCAUACACUUUGCCCUGUUUAUGCACUCGGUGUUGUUACAUUGGACAAGGAAGAGUAGUUAUUUACUCAAAAAUGCUUUGUAAACAUUCUUACCAGGGUUUAUGAGCUGGGAUAGGAUCAGUGACAACUGACAGUAUCAGCACCCUCGUAAAUACCCCUGUGUUGAAGAGACAGGACAACAACACUGUUACAUUACCCAGCUACAUGUAUAAAUCAAUCAAACGGUCAUGUGAACACAGUUUCAUGUGUGUUGGGAAAAUAUCUUUAAAAGAAACAGGUCAUUUACAUGAUGCACUUUGGAAUUUCAGACAAAGGGACAGUGUGUCUGACAGUGUUAUGCAUUUAUUGCCAUUCACAUGCCAACUUCAACCCACAUAAAAGGCAAUGAAAUGACUACCGGACAAUGUUGCAACGAUCAUGUGACUUUCACUGAUCACAGUAGAGAUUGAAACGGACUAAAAGUCUUGAACAAAACAUAAAAUGCUGUACGAACGUAAUCCUUAUUUUGUUAAAUUUGUUAAUAAACUACUCAUUUAAACACCA
Oncorhynchus kisutch (coho salmon) is the source of this 2661-nucleotide long non-coding RNA. RefSeq lists it as uncharacterized. The transcript is spliced from 4 exons. The record is from RefSeq and is a predicted model, not a curated record. NCBI's taxonomy places the organism in Eukaryota, Metazoa, Chordata, Actinopteri, Salmoniformes, Salmonidae.